Molecule: long non-coding RNA, 255 nt
Filed under: Gossypium barbadense (sea-island cotton)
Lineage: Eukaryota; Viridiplantae; Streptophyta; Magnoliopsida; Malvales; Malvaceae
Description: long non-coding RNA (GBAR_LNC004108)
Source: RNAcentral
AAAUUUGGGGUUAGAAGUUUUGAGAUUUGUAGGUGAGGUCAGUGGCUAGAUCGAACAAUUGGGUUUGUUGCUGUGCUUUAGACAGAAUAGGCCUGGUAGUCUAGUGGUUUGUUGUGUGUUAGUGUACCUUUGAUACCCGGGUUCAAGUUCUCAAGUGUGUUUUGAGAAACUAUUUUUGAUUUAGUUUGUUUUCUUUUAAAAGUCUAAAUAUUUUAUUUAUUCAUUUAUUUUUAUUUAUUUUUAGUUUUUUUUAAA